UACUGUAUAUGUAAAAGAGGAGCUGCGCAAACAACUCCUCUAACAGCACCGUUUAAGACGGUGACCGAGUGUUCUUAUUUUUUA
Molecule: small RNA, 84 nt
Filed under: Enterococcus saccharolyticus subsp. saccharolyticus ATCC 43076
Lineage: Bacteria; Bacillati; Bacillota; Bacilli; Lactobacillales; Enterococcaceae
Description: RNA anti-toxin A
Rfam family: RNA anti-toxin A
Source: Rfam by way of RNAcentral